CAGUCGCCGCGGUAAUACGAAGGGGGCUAGCGUUGUUCGGAAUUACUGGGCGUAAAGCGCACGUAGGCGGAUAUUUAAGUCAGGGGCGAAAUCCCGCAGCUCAACUGCGGAACUGCCUUUGAUACUGGGUAUCUUGAGUAUGGAAGAGGUAAGUGGAAUUGCGAGUGUAGAGGUGAAAUUCGUAGAUAUUCGCAGGAACACCAGUGGCGAAGGCGGCUUACUGGUCCAUUACUGACGCUGAGGUGCGAAAGCGUGGGGAGCAAACAGGAUUAGAUACCCCUGUAGUCCCUGUCUCUUAUAC
RNAcentral lists this ribosomal RNA (301 nucleotides) under uncultured bacterium. Its description in RNAcentral is "partial 16S ribosomal RNA". It matches the Rfam family "Bacterial small subunit ribosomal RNA", at positions 509 to 807 of the family's 1533-position model. The record is from RNAcentral.